This is a long non-coding RNA of Portunus trituberculatus (swimming crab), 1300 nucleotides long. RefSeq lists it as uncharacterized. The transcript is spliced from 2 exons. Lineage: Eukaryota; Metazoa; Arthropoda; Malacostraca; Decapoda; Portunidae. The record is from RefSeq and is a predicted model, not a curated record.
CUCGCCGUGCCCACACACUCGCAGGUGCAGCCCAGCAUCACCUGAACCUGAACAGUGUACGCAGCAGAAGACGAGGAGGGUGCAGUGCCCCUCAGGUGUAGGUGUGACCUUCACCUGAUAUCAACUGAGCAGCCUCCUACUUGACCAAGUCGUGCGGAUAAAUAUGGACCGUGUAGAUGCCAGUAUACUUUUUAAUGAAUUUGUUUUGGCCUUCAUUACCAGGAUGUUUCAUGAGCAUAUUAUUUUGAUAGUUUGUAUAUAGUAUACAGUUGUUGUUAUUGUUAUUUGAAGAAUACAUUCAUAUUUGGUGAAAGAGGGAAACGGCCAGCCUUGACUGGCUAGUUUGAAAUGAGUGUUGAGUGGUUAAAUGGAUUUUGAGUUCUGAGACAUCGAACUAGAAUGUUUCAAACCUACCCAUUCACGGCGAGGACUUUGGCCGGCUAGCCCAGUACAGCUCAGCCCUUAUUGCCGUGUGGAUGUAGAGUGCUACAUAUAUCGAUUGCCGUGGAUUUACAGUGUUGUGUGGAAUACUUGGUGAGUUUAAAACUUUGUUAUUUGUUAUAUUAUAGAUGUAUUUAGCAGUGUGGAUUUCAUUGUAGACUUCAUCUGUUAAUAAGUUUAAUUAUUAUAAGCUUCAAGCCAGUGACGAGGCCAUUAAGUUGUUGGAGAGAGAUUCGGUUUACUGUGAAGAAAUUCUUAGUUAUUUAUCUUUAUUUAUUAUCAACACAUAGUAAUGCAAGGCAAUAGUUAUUUAAUUGGGUUAAUGAAAUCUUACGUAAUUAUUUAGUCUACCGUGAAGUCCACACGUUUAAUAUUGCGAUUCGGUUGUGAUAGAUUGUGAUAAUUGAGAAAAAUUGGUUAUAUCAAAUUGGGUUAACGAAACUCUAUACGAAGAAGUACAUGUAAGACCUUUCUUUGUAGAAUGAUUCAGAGGCCGGUUGAGAUCGAGAUUCGAUCUGUUCUUCGUAUUUAUGAGACAGGGAUACAGCUUGAUACAACUUGUAGUCGAGUUAAAGUGCAAUAAAGGUGGACGGCUACAGAGCGUUAUCAUCUAUCCCAGUGUUGGACAACUAGGGCUUCUACAGAGCGAUUGCAUGAGUUUCAAAUCAGUGACAUGAAACCAGUCUGCCCUGCGUCGCCAAUGUUGAUUAGUAUCUUCACUCUUUUUACCUUUCUCUUCAUUCCUUUCACUGGAAACUGGAACUAACAUAUUUUUCUCCUUCCUCCUUUACAUGACUUUAAGGGGUUCAAAAAGAAGACAGUAAAAUAUGUAAAAAAAAAAUAAAGAUGGACAACAUUU